This 469-nucleotide ribosomal RNA is filed under the name uncultured bacterium. RNAcentral describes it as "bacterial SSU rRNA". It matches the Rfam family "Bacterial small subunit ribosomal RNA", at positions 355 to 825 of the family's 1533-position model. The record is from RNAcentral.
GCGAGAAUCUUCCGCAAUGGACGAAAGUCUGACGGAGCGACGCCGCGUGCGGGAUGAAGGCCCUUGGGUUGUAAACCGCUGUCAGAGGGGAUGAAAUCUUCGAAGGUUAUCCUUCGAAGUUGACAGAGCCUCAAAGGAAGCACGGGCUAAGUACGUGCCAGCAGCCGCGGUAACACGUACUGUGCGAACGUUAUUCGGAAUCACUGGGCUUAAAGGGUGCGUAGGCGGCGAUACAAGUCAGGUGUGAAAUGCCGGAGCUCAACUGCGGCAUUGCGCUUGAAACUGUGUUGCUGGAGUAUUUCAGGGGUGUGGGGAACUGCCAGUGGAGCGGUGAAAUGUGUUGAUAUUGGCAGGAACACCGGAGGCGAAAGCGCCACACUGGGGAAUAACUGACGCUGAGGCACGAAAGCCAGGGGAGCGAACGGGAUUAGAUACCCCAGUAGUCCCUGAGCGGGCUGGCAAGGCGCAU